GAUGAACGCUAGCGAUAGGCUUAACACAUGCAAGUCGAGGGGCAGCAUGGUCUUAGCUUGCUAAGACUGAUGGCGACCGGCGCACGGGUGCGUAACGCGUAUGCAACUUGCCUCACAGAGGGGGAUAACCCGUCGAAAGACGGACUAAUACCGCGUACACUCCAUCUUGGGCAUCCAAGGUAGAGGAAAUGAAAUUCGCUGUGAGAUAGGCAUGCGUCCCAUUAGCUAGUUGGUGAGGUAACGGCUCACCAAGGCGACGAUGGGUAGGGGAACUGAGAGGUUGAACCCCCACACUGGUACUGAGACACGGACCAGACUACUACGGGAGGCAGCAGUGAGGAAUAGUGGUCAAUGGGCGAGAGCCUGAACCAGCCAAGUCGCGUGAAGGAUGACUGUCUUAUGGAUUGUAAACUUCUUUUAGACGGGAAUAACAAGAGUCACGUGUGACUCCCUGCAUGUACCGUAUGAAUAAGCAUCGGCUAACUCCGUG
This 490-nucleotide ribosomal RNA is filed under the name uncultured bacterium. Its description in RNAcentral is "partial 16S ribosomal RNA". It matches the Rfam family "Bacterial small subunit ribosomal RNA", at positions 28 to 507 of the family's 1533-position model. The record is from RNAcentral.